GGGACCCUCAAGCUCCGCCUCCAUCCCAGCUCCCCAGCCGAGAGCUCGCGGUCCCGGGUGCCUGGCGGGCUGUAGCCCGCGAUCCUGUAGGCUAAAGGAGGAAACGACACCACUCCUGUUGCCCGGAGACUGAAGGGCUAAAGCGCCCUUUCCUGGUGUCUGGUUGGGAAUGUGUUUCCCUAUCCCAAGCGCAUCGUUGACCUACCGUCACCUCGCUGCCCUCCUUGCUGUCAUCUUCCGGGACUCCCGUCCGGCUCAUCCUGGACCCGGGGGCCCCUAGGUGAGAAAACAACGCAAAGACGGUAGAUGCUUCCCUCAAGAUGAAACAUUCGUAAGCUCCAUGGCCAGCAUGGAGACCAAUGCAGGGCUUGAAGUCAGGACCCUGAGAUCGAGAGUCAGAGGCUUAACCAACAGAGCCACCCAAGAGCCCCAAAAUGUCUAACUGUAAAGGACAGGAUGGGAUAAGGAUGGAAGUGAGACUUUCUUCCCAGUAAGACUUUCAACCAUAGACCCAUUUAUAUGUUUUACAUAUUCAAAAAAUAGAAAAGAAAAAAGUAAACUCAAAAUUGAAAGCACACCCAAACACCUAUCUGUACAUUAAAUUGGAAAUAUAACAUCAUAGAGAAAA
This is a long non-coding RNA of Zalophus californianus (California sea lion), 628 nucleotides long. RefSeq lists it as uncharacterized. The record is from RefSeq and is a predicted model, not a curated record. Lineage: Eukaryota; Metazoa; Chordata; Mammalia; Carnivora; Otariidae. The transcript has 3 exons.